Long non-coding RNA from Thunnus maccoyii (southern bluefin tuna), 1715 nucleotides. RefSeq lists it as uncharacterized. The transcript is spliced from 2 exons. Lineage: Eukaryota; Metazoa; Chordata; Actinopteri; Scombriformes; Scombridae. The record is from RefSeq and is a predicted model, not a curated record.
UGGUGCGAUGAAUUGUGAAGAACACUUGACUUUGUGGUAGCUUGGUUAUUUAAAGAGCCUCUGCAUUGGCACACCAGUUAAAGUAUGAGGAUUAGAGAUGAGAGCCAUUCAGCAGUUUAUUGUCUUGUCCACAGGAUUUCCACUUAAAUAGUUGACUGUCAUAAAGGAUUUAAUGGCUGAUGGGCAAAUGAAAACAAAGGUACUCUAAUAAAUCUUAAUCAAAUCAAAGCAUUCAUUUGGUCAUUAGACAGAGAAAAAGCAAUUUCCUUAACUUACUAACAGGCCACACCUGAACUAUCAGUUCAGCCCGUUAGGUUGAGGCUAAGUCCCGCCCACCUAAGACUGGGCAGGAAGGAGGAUUUUCUACAGCUGCCCCUCAAAUAUGCAGGGCAUGAGGACUCAGGCGGACAACCUGAGGACAGAACAGGGGCCGAGCAAGGACCCUCAGGUGGACAGCCCGGGAGCUGGAAAUCAUGAACGGAAGACACAGGGCAGAUAAAUGUAGUCACCCCAGAGGGCGACCAGAAGACAGGACAGAUGGGUGGAGCCGCUCUGGAGGUCAACAGAGAAGCUCAGGACAGAGACCUUGAGACCUGAGGCUUCAGCGAUGGCACUUAGAGGGGUGGCAAAUAGACUCGCGGACAGCAGAGACAGCCAACUGCUGCUGUCUGGCUGGAUGUUGGCAAGGGCAGCUGACUGCUCGGGACCAGGCAACUCUGUGGCGCUGGGCAGUGGAGACUCUGAGGAGCUGAGGAGCUCUCUCGUGCAUGAGAGAACCGGCCAUGUUUGGAUCCUUUCACCUUGUUUCACCUAUUGAUCCACAGUCAGUGGUGUGGGUGGGGCUGAGGCUGCUGCAAGGGGCAAGGCCUCACUGGACAAUUUCCAUAUUUUCUAAAUAUUUAGCUUUACACUUGGUGACACAUUUAGAUUUAACAUUUAGAUUAAGAUUCAGAUUUAACAGGGCGUUAGGACGACUCUAAGGCCCUGUGGCUGACUAAUUUUUUUUCAAUAUUAAAUUAUUAACCUAUUGUCAUAAAUAGAUUUUUUUAUUUACAAUGUACUAAUAAAACCAACAGUUUCUUUUUCUUUUCUUGUUUUUGGCAAAAAGUAAACAUCCAGUCCAUCCAUGUCGACCACUGUGCAGAAAGGACUGAGAGUGAGUGAGUGAAUGAAUUGGUGUGAGCUAUAAACCUAUGCAACGUUGUCAAUCAUAAAUUACUGCUGUCACAAUAAUUGCCUGGCUCAGUCCCUGCCAUUCUCCACCUGUCUACCACAUGCCACUAGACUAUCUCACCUGAUUCCUCCACCCACCUGUUCACCUGUUCCUCAUCCCCUAAUCAUCCCUGCCUUCUCACCUGCCUCUCAUUCUGCCACAUCACCCAGUCUGUGUAUAAUACACCCACCCACUUUCCACUGUCCUCUGCCAUUUCGUCAUGUUGUCCUGCGUUCCAGCCACCUGUUAUUGAUCCUGUUUCUGAUUAUCCUUACCUGCUCUGCCCUGCUCUGGUGUCUGCAUUUAGUUCCUCCUCCUGUUUGCUCUGCUAUUUUGUACCCACAUCCAUGACACCUGCCCAAUUUCUUUGACAUAAAGCUUUUAACUUAUGUGUGCCGAAGCAUCAUUUUAGAUCUUUCAAGAUGUUGAGGCUGUGCAAAUAUCUGUCCCUAAUUAAAUUGUCCAAUUUUAAUAAAACUCAAAUGUUUUUUUGUUUUUUUUU